Non-coding RNA from Macaca mulatta (Rhesus monkey), 2796 nucleotides. Lineage: Eukaryota; Metazoa; Chordata; Mammalia; Primates; Cercopithecidae. The record is from RefSeq and is a predicted model, not a curated record.
UUUCUCCACGCAGAAUCCGGGAGUAGGAGACUCAGAAUCGAAUCUCUUCUCCCUCCCACCUCCUGUUUUCAGCUUUGUGAGAAACCUUAUCAUCAAACACAAUGGCCAGCAACGUUACCAACAAGACAGAUCCUCGCUCCAUGAACUCCCGUGUGUUCAUUGGGAAUCUCAACACUCUUGUGGUCUAGAAAUCUGAUGUGGAGGCAAUCUUUUCGAAGUAUGGCAAAACUGUGGGCUGCUCUGUUCAUAAGGGCUUUGCCUUCGUUCAAUAUGUUAAUGAGAGAAAUGCCCGGGCUGCUGUAGCAGGAGAGGAUGGCAGAAUGAUUGCUGGCCAGGUUUUAGAUAUUAACCUGGCUGCAGAGCCAAAAGUGAACCGAGGAAAAGCAGGUGUGAAACGAUCUGCAGCGGAGAUGUACGGCUCCUCUUUUGACUUGGACUAUGACUUUCAACGGGACUAUUAUGAUAGGAUAUACAGUUACCCAGCACGUGUACCUCCUCCUCCUCCUAUUGCUCGGGCUGUAGUGCCCUCGAAACGUCAGCAUGUAUCAGGAAACACCUCACGAAGGGGCAAAAGUGGCUUCAAUUCUAAGAGUGGACAGCGGGGAUCUUCCAAGUCUGGAAAGUUGAAAGGCGAUGACCUUCAGGCCAUUAAGAAGGAGUUGACCCAGAUAAAACAAAAAGUGGAUUCUCUCCUGGAAAACCUGGAAAAAAUUGAAAAGGAACAGAGCAAACAAGCAGUAGAGAUGAAGAACGAUAGGUCAGAAGAGGAGCAGAGCAGCAGCUCCGUGAAGAAAGAUGAGACUAAUGUGAAGAUGGAGUCUGCGGGGGGUGCAGAUGACUCUGCUGAGGAGGGGGACCUACUGGAUGAUGAUGAUAAUGAAGAUCGAGGGGAUGACCAGCUGGAGUUGAUCAAGGAUGAUGAAAAAGAGGCUGAGGAAGGAGAGGAUGACAGAGACAGCGCCAAUGGCGAGGAUGACUCUUAAGCACAUAGUGGGGUUUAGAAAUCUUAUCCCAUUAUUUCUUUACCUAGGCGCUUGUCUAAGAUCAAAUUUUUCACCAGAUCCUCUCCCCUAGUAUCUUCAGCACAUGCUCACUGUUCUCCCCAUCCUUGUCCUUCCCAUGUUCAUUAAUUCAUAUUGCCCCACGCCUAGUCCCAUUUUCACUUCCUUUGACGCUCCUAGUAGUUUUGUUAAGUCUUACCCUGUAAUUUUUACUUUUAAUUUUGAUACCUCUUUAUGACUUAACAAUAAAAAGGAUGUAUGGUUUUUAUCAACUGUCUCCAAAAUAAUCUCUUGUUAUGCAGGGAGUACAGUUCUUUUCAUUCAUACAUAAGUUCAGUAGUUGCUUCCCUAACUGCAAAGGCAAUCUCAUUUAGUUGAGUAGCUCCUGAAAGCAGCUUUGAGUUAGAAGUAUGUGUGUUACACCCCCACAUUAGUGUGCUGUGUGGGGCAGUUCAACACAAAUGUAACAAUGUAUUUUUGUGAAUGAGAGUUGGCAUGUCAAAUGCAUCCUCUAGAAAAAUAAUUAGUGUUAUAGUCUUAAGAUUUGUUUUCUAAAGUUGAUACUGUGGGUUAUUUUUGUGAACAGCCUGAUGUUUGGGACCUUUUUUCCUCAAAAUAAACAAGUCCUUAUUAAACCAGGAAUUUGGAGGAAAAAACCCUGGUUUUUUAUUUUUGUAUUUUAUUAUUGUUUACUUCAAACUUUGUUUUACAGCGUCCUCCACAAAACCUCUAGAAUGUACUAGAUACAUUUUUCUUGGAGUCAUAAUCAUGAUACAUACCAACACAACACUACUCAAAUUAUAUUUCAUUGAGUUGCAUGUUGCAUUGAGGAGUCAAAUAACUUGACAUACAGUGGAGAUUGUUUUUCAAAAUGGCUUUUACAUCCUAAUGAAAGUUCAGUGCUUUGUGGUCCAACUGGCACCCUUUUUGAGGUUUUUGUUGUGUGCUAAAUUGUUUUGUCCUUAAAUAGGAGAGACUCAAAAACAAGAUUUCAGGAAAAUUGCAACAGCUGGACAAUGGACUCCCCCUGCUUUCUUCUGUUUUGUUCUUUUAAUUACUAUUUAUAGCCUCAGUUACCUUCUGAAUUCUGAAGUGUAUACCUCCAUGUUACUGAAAAUGAGAAAACUCUUAUUUCCUGAUACUCCACAGUUUGCCUUCCCAGGUGAUUGAGAACAUAAAGAAUGUUACAUUUAUUUUACCCUAAAUGAUCUUUUACCCCAUUAGCUGAUCUUUGUGUUUUCCCUCAACUUUAUUAAUUACAGUGAUUGUAUUUUUAGCAUCCAGUCUUACUUAAAAUGAAUAUAUUAAACAGCUACCAGUGUUGUGAUACCUCAUCCUUGAAAGGCUUAGUUGAUUUGUGUUUUAAACUUCAGUUUUUCCAGCACAACAGAAAAUGACGUUUAUAAUUUUUGUGCACACAAACCUUGGAUUCCCCUAUAAAGUUGCUAUUGUUUCAUAGCAUGCAGCACUGGCCUUUUUUCAUCCUACUCAUUACAGGCAAAACUCAUGUCUUAUUUAUAAGGAUUUUAUAGAUCAUUUUCUAUAUCAGGUGACAAAAGCAGAAAAGAAUGAAGAGGCUGAACUAUGAACUACCCUUGGAGCCCAUAUACAUGAUAUAGGCAAUUUCUUUGGUAUGUUAAUUCGGUCAAAAAUACUACCCACUUGAUGUUUUCUGAUCUGAUGUGAGCUCCUGUUACACAGACUUUUAGUAAGUAACCCAUGACUAGAAAAUAAACUGGAUGCUUAGGAGAGAGUGUCAGAUGUAUAAGAUGCUAAUAAAACAUGUUUAAUAUUA